GGGGAAUAUUGGACAAUGGGCGAAAGCCUGAUCCAGCAAUGCCGCGUGAGUGAUGAAGGCCUUAGGGUUGUAAAGCUCUUUUACCCGGGAUGAUAAUGACAGUACCGGGAGAAUAAGCCCCGGCUAACUCCGUGCCAGCAGCCGCGGUAAUACGGAGGGGGCUAGCGUUGUUCGGAAUUACUGGGCGUAAAGCGCGCGUAGGCGGCUUUGUAAGUUAGAGGUGAAAGCCCGAAGCUCAACUUCGGAACUGCCUUUAAGACUGCAUCGCUUGAACACGGGAGAGGUGAGUGGAAUUCCGAGUGUAGAGGUGAAAUUCGUAGAUAUUCGGAAGAACACCAGUGGCGAAGGCGACUCACUGGACCGUUGGUGACGCUGAGGUGCGAAAGCGUGGGGAGCAAAC
This 400-nucleotide ribosomal RNA is filed under the name uncultured bacterium. RNAcentral describes it as "bacterial SSU rRNA". It matches the Rfam family "Bacterial small subunit ribosomal RNA", at positions 356 to 773 of the family's 1533-position model. The record is from RNAcentral.